GACGAACGCUGGCGGCGUGCUUAACACAUGCAAGUCGAACGGAAAGGCCCUGCUUGCCGGGUACUCGAGUGGCGAACGGGUGAGUAACACGUGGGUGAUCUGCCCUGCACUUCGGGAUAAGCCUGGGAAACUGGGUCUAAUACCGGAUAGGAGCCAUUUUUAGUGUGAUGGUUGGAAAGUUUUUUCGGUGUAGGAUGAGCUCGCGGCCUAUCAGCUUGUUGGUGGGGUAAUGGCCUACCAAGGCGGCGACGGGUAGCCGGCCUGAGAGGGUGGGCGGCCACAUUGGGACUGAGAUACGGCCCAGACUCCUACGGGAGGCAGCAGUGGGGAAUAUUGCACAAUGGGCGCAAGCCUGAUGCAGCGACGCCGCGUGGGGGAUGACGGCCUUCGGGUUGUAAACUCCUUUCGCUAGGGACGAAGCUUUUUGUGACGGUACCUAGAUAAGAAGCACCGGCUAACUACGUG
This 465-nucleotide ribosomal RNA is filed under the name uncultured bacterium. RNAcentral describes it as "partial 16S ribosomal RNA". It matches the Rfam family "Bacterial small subunit ribosomal RNA", at positions 28 to 507 of the family's 1533-position model. The record is from RNAcentral.